GAUGAACGCUGCCAGAAUGCUUAACACAUGCAAGUCUUUGGCGAAUCUGUGCUUGCACAGGCUAGCCAAGGCGGACGGGUGAGUAACGCGUAAAGAACUUGCCCUGCAGACAGGGAUAACAGACGGAAACGACUGAUAACACCUGAUACAGUUGCCGGCACGCAUGUGCCUGGCAAUGAAAAGAGAUGCUGCAGGAGAGCUUUGCGUCCUAUUAGCUUGUUGGUGAGGUGACGGCUCACCAAGGCGAUGAUAGGUAGCCGGCCUGAGAGGGUGAACGGCCACAAGGGGACUGAGAUACGGCACUUACUCCUACGGGAGGCAGCAGUGGGGAAUAUUGGACAAUGGGGGCAACCCUGAUCCAGCAAUUCUGUGUGCACGAAGAAGGUUUUCGGAUUGUAAAGUGCUUUCAGCAGGGAAGAAGAAAGUGACGGUACCUGCAGAAGAAGCGACGGCUAAAUACGUG
This 463-nucleotide ribosomal RNA is filed under the name uncultured bacterium. RNAcentral's name for it is "partial 16S ribosomal RNA". It matches the Rfam family "Bacterial small subunit ribosomal RNA", at positions 28 to 507 of the family's 1533-position model. The record is from RNAcentral.